AAAACAAACGGUGUCGCUAGAGAGGGUGAUCACAAUACGAACCUCUCUCUUGUCGCAUCACAAGAACUCGGGAGCCCGCCCGCCCACCCACACAACCUCAUCGCCACAGCGAGGUCGGCGCCUUUCCCUCCUCCCAGCCAUCUCGGCUCUUCUUCUCGCGGCUCCGCUGCCACGGCGUGCGCAGUGUCCAUCAUGGCGCUUCUUCAGCGUGUGGUGCAGGUCAUGCAGGAGGUCGCCCCGCUAAGCCUUGCAGACCACUCGUGGGACAACGUAGGCGUUCUUCUCGAGUCCCCGGCACCCAACAAGAGCAACGCCAUUAUGCUCACCAUCGACCUCACCCCGGAGGUGAUGGAAGAGUGCCUGGAAAAAAACGUUGAGGUCAUUCUCGCCUACCACCCGCCGCUCUUCCGCCCUGUGAAGCGCUUAACGCUCCAGGAUCCGAAGCAACGAAUUAUUCUGCAGGCGGCCUCGGCAGGGAUGUCCAUCUACGCGCCACACACGUCGCUCGACGCUGCAGAGGGCGGCAUCAACGACUGGCUUGCCUCCUUGGUUGCUGGCGACGGCGCUUACACCGCUAGUCCCAUCCAGCCCACCUCCUCGUACGCACCGAACGCGGCGGAGGCAACGAAGGCCACCGGAAUGGGCCGCCUUGUCAAAUUAAAGGAAGAGGUGGAGUUCUGCUCUAUGGUGGGGUCGCUGAAGCAGCAGCUGGGCCUGGCCACGGUGCGAGUGGCGCUGCCAGACUCAUGGGAACCGUCACACAAGGUAUCGUCGGUAGCCCUGUGUGCCGGUAGCGGCACCAGUGUGUUUCGGCUGCUGCGCCUCCCAGUGCACGUGUUGCUCUCAGGUGAGAUGAGCCACCAUGAUGUGCUGGCCGCCACGGCAGCUGGGCAGGCGGUUAUCCUUUGCGAGCAUACAAACACCGAGCGCGGCUUUCUUAAAGCGGUGUUGCAACGCACACUGCAGGCGAAGCUAGAGGGGACUACCGUGCUGGUCUCCGACAAGGACCGCGAUCCACUCGCAGCCUGGUAGGCAGAUGUGUCGCUGCCCUCACCAUUGCCAUCACCGCCUGCCUGAUGUCAUUGUGCCUUCACUAUUUGCUCUUCCCUUUCGUCUCGGCCAGGCGUGUGCCGCAGCUGUGGGCGAGAGGCGAGCCAACAGCGGAACAGGUUGAGACUCGCGCUCGCGGUAGUGCACCUCCUCGUCUUUCUCCAUUGUCAUAGUCGUGGUGCAGCCAUAGACACUGCAGUGGCGCGAUCCGAAGGCCAAAUACCACGGUGGAUGCCACCAAAUGUGCAUAGAUUCACCUGCGUACCCGUGUUGUUCUUGCGCACGUGUGUGUGUGGGGGGGGGGGGGGACUGCAACCGGCAAGAUUGCGGAGAAAAGGAGGAGACCAUAGCAACCUGCGUCGCGCUGCAACGCGAGAGAGGUACACCAGUCUCAAAUCAAGCAAUGAGGCGGUCGACGUUGUCGCACAGGCUCCUCAAUGGGUCAAACGGGCGAGCGCAUAUGCCGCUGCGUGCGUGUCUGGCACACAGUAGAGAAUCUCCACGAUGCACAGCUCGUGUUUUGUCUGUGGUUCGACUUCACUGCCGAGAGGAGCCACCGCCCUCCCCCUUCGCUGCAGCGCAAUGUCUUUACAAAGUCAUGACGCUCUUCUCCUCCACGCCUCACCCUUACCCAUGUGUGCUGGGCGGUGCCCCUCCUCCUGUCUUUUGUGCUCGCCCCUCACGUGGACGUUUCGUGUUCUGCGCCGGCGGAAG
RNAcentral lists this unclassified non-coding RNA (1764 nucleotides) under Leishmania donovani. RNAcentral describes it as "gene:LdHU3.11.0150(CDS-product:NGG1_interacting_f actor_3-like_protein)". Lineage: Eukaryota; Euglenozoa; Kinetoplastea; Trypanosomatida; Trypanosomatidae. The record is from RNAcentral.